CCUACGGGGGGCAGCAGUGAGGAAUAUUGGUCAAUGGGCGCAAGCCUGAACCAGCCAAGUCGCGUGAGGGAAGACGGCCCUACGGGUUGUAAACCUCUUUUGCCGGGGAGCAAGCCUGAGCACGUGUGCCCAGGCGGAGAGUACCCGGAGAAAAAGCAUCGGCUAACUCCGUGCCAGCAGCCGCGGUAAUACGGAGGAUGCGAGCGUUAUCCGGAUUUAUUGGGUUUAAAGGGUGCGCAGGCGGGCUGUUAAGCCGGCGGUAAAAAUUCAGGGCUCAACCGUAAAAUUGCAAUUGAUACUGGCAGCCUUGAGUACAGUUGAGGUAGGCGGAAUUCGUGGUGUAGCGGUGAAAUGCUUAGAUAUCACGAAGAACUCCGAUUGCGAAGGCAGCCUACUAAACUGCCACUGACAUUGAUGCUCGAAAGUGUGGGUAUCAAACAGGAUUAGAUACCCGAGUAGUC
RNAcentral lists this ribosomal RNA (461 nucleotides) under uncultured bacterium. RNAcentral's name for it is "partial 16S ribosomal RNA". It matches the Rfam family "Bacterial small subunit ribosomal RNA", at positions 338 to 795 of the family's 1533-position model. The record is from RNAcentral.